Molecule: ribosomal RNA, 501 nt
Filed under: uncultured bacterium
Lineage: Bacteria
Description: bacterial SSU rRNA
Rfam family: Bacterial small subunit ribosomal RNA
Source: RNAcentral
AACGAACGCUGGCGGCGCGCCUAAUACAUGCAAGUCGAGCGAGAAGACGUAGCAAUACGUUUGUAAAGCGGCGAACGGGUGAGGAAUACAUGGGUAACCUACCCUCGAGUGGGGAAUAACUAGCCGAAAGGUUAGCUAAUACCGCGUACGCUCCUUGGACUUCGGUUCAGGGAGGAAAGCGAUACCGUGGGUAUCGCGCUCUUGGAUGGGCUCAUGUCCUAUCAGCUUGUUGGUGAGGUAACGGCUCACCAAGGCUUCGACGGGUAGCUGGUCUGAGAGGACGAUCAGCCACACUGGCACUGCGACACGGGCCAGACUCCUACGGGAGGCAGCAGUAAGGAAUAUUGCGCAAUGGGCGAAAGCCUGACGCAGCGACGCCGCGUGGGGGAUGAAGGUCUUCGGAUUGUAAACCCCUUUCGGGAGGGAAGAUGGAACGAGCAAUCGUUCGGACGGUACCUCCAGAAGCAGCCACGGCUAACUUCGUGCCAGCAGCCGCCGCCG